AUUGAACGCUGGCGGCAUGCUUUACACAUGCAAGUCGAACGGUAACAGGUUAAGCUGACGAGUGGCGAACGGGUGAGUAAUGCAUCGGAACGUGCCCGGUCGUGGGGGAUAACGCAGCGAAAGUUGCGCUAAUACCGCAUACGAUCUGAGGAUGAAAGCGGGGGACCGUAAGGCAUUGCGCGAUCGGAGCGGCCGAUGUCAGAUUAGGUAGUUGGUGGGGUAAAGGCUCACCAAGCCAACGAUCUGUAGCUGGUCUGAGAGGACGACCAGCCACACUGGGACUGAGACACGGCCCAGACUCCUACGGGAGGCAGCAGUGGGGAAUUUUGGACAAUGGGCGAAAGCCUGAUCCAGCAAUGCCGCGUGCAGGAAGAAGGCCUUCGGGUUGUAAACUGCUUUUGUACGGAGCGAAAAGGUCUCCUCUAAUACAGGGGGCUCAUGACGGUACCGUAAGAAUAAGCACCGGCUAACUACGUGCCAGCCGCCGCGGUAA
RNAcentral lists this ribosomal RNA (493 nucleotides) under uncultured bacterium. RNAcentral describes it as "partial 16S ribosomal RNA". It matches the Rfam family "Bacterial small subunit ribosomal RNA", at positions 30 to 523 of the family's 1533-position model. The record is from RNAcentral.